AGAGAGACAGAGAGACAGUGAGAGGGAGAGAGCAUGUAUGUGCUGAUGCUCACAGAGGCCAGCAAAGGGCAUCAAAUCCCCUGGAGGUGGAGUUACAGUGGGCUGUGAGUCACUCAUCAUGGGCGCUGGGAACCAACCGGGUCCUCAGCGAGAUCAGCAAGUGUUCCUAGAGCUAAGCAGUGUCUCCAGGGCAAAUCUCAACUCCUCACUUUGACUCUAGGGAGCAUCAUGGGUGGGUUCUCCUUUCCCUGAGAGAACAUGGAACACAGAUGGACUCCCCCACACACCGGGACCCUGAGCCAAGACCAUCUCGCAUUCACCACAUGGGUCAGCGGCACUGUGGGCUCUCCGCUCUCAUCUGGUACCUCCCACAAGAGAGACAACAGGACACAGCACAGGAUUGGCGCCACUGGACCUCCCCAGACAGGACUGGAUUGUCUUCAGGGGCCCCCAGGGAGCACAGAUCUCAUCAUGUGAUGCCACUCUCCUAUUCACAACACCUAAACAUGAAACAAAGGGCACGCACGUUGCUGGAAUGCAAUUACGGUCCUUAAUGAAUUAAUAACAGAGCUAUGAUCCCCAGCAAGCAAAGAAUGCAGACAAUAAAACAAGCCACUGGGCCUCUGGGUUUGAAAACGGCACCUGCGUGACCACCCACAAGACUCUGGGAAGCUUUGGACUGGAAACUCCGUGAAGAACUUCUGGUGCUGAGAAAGAAAGCCCAGGAUCAGAAUCUCAGUACACACUGUGAGCGAUGGAAGCGUCUCCACACAGUGACAACUCCCUCAGAUCCCAGCUGCUCCUCUGUAAAAGAUUUUUAUUGAAUCUUGGCCAGAUUUUUUUUAAGUAGCUGUUGUUUCACACCUGCUCUUUUGACAGUUAGCAGAGGUGUGCAUUUGUUGUAAGCUCCUUGAUUCCUGGCUGUGUUAUACCGCUGUGACAGACACUCACACACACACACACACUCACACAUGCACGCACGCACGCACGCACGAAGAAGGUCUUAAAUAGCGUAUGGCAGUUAUGUGACAGACACCUUAAACUGAAUACAAAUGUAGUCACGUGACACAUUUGUAGAAAUAAAUCUGCCCAAGGUCAUGGCUGAGAAUUCUCUUCUGUGUAGGCAGCUGAGAGAGUGCUUCAUAGUUUAGUUGUGGAG
Mesocricetus auratus (golden hamster) is the source of this 1159-nucleotide long non-coding RNA. RefSeq lists it as uncharacterized. NCBI's taxonomy places the organism in Eukaryota, Metazoa, Chordata, Mammalia, Rodentia, Cricetidae. The record is from RefSeq and is a predicted model, not a curated record. The transcript is spliced from 3 exons.